CUGGAUACAGGAUUACCCUGCUUCCGCGGUCAAACCAUCAAACUGCUCAAGCAGCGUUUUAACCCUGGAGUGAGUGAGAAGGAAGCAGCAGCUUUCAUCAUCAAAGUCAUUCAGAACUGCUUCCUGAGCAGCAGGAGCAAAACGUAUGACAUGAUCCAGUACUAUCAGAACCAGAUUCCCUACUGAAGGCCAGAGAAACCUGUGUUUGUGUGUGUUUCUCUUACUCUCUUAAUGCUAAAUUGCACUGCUGUCUCGGUCUGGUGUGUUUGUGCACUUAAUACACCUGAAAUGUGUUUGCAUGGAUUUCUACGCACUGAUAUCAGCACUUAUGAGGUGAUUUCUGCACACGUCACACUGUCUGCUGCACGAUGGGUUCAACUGUAAACAUCACAAAAUAACUUCUGUGCCAUUUUGAUUUGCAUUUGAUGUGAUUUUGUUGUCAGUCUUAAAUAAUUUACAGGUAAAUCAUGUAGUUUUUAAACUACAACAGACCAGA
Labeo rohita (rohu) is the source of this 496-nucleotide long non-coding RNA. RefSeq lists it as uncharacterized. The transcript has 3 exons. NCBI's taxonomy places the organism in Eukaryota, Metazoa, Chordata, Actinopteri, Cypriniformes, Cyprinidae. The record is from RefSeq and is a predicted model, not a curated record.